Non-coding RNA from Callithrix jacchus (white-tufted-ear marmoset), 1249 nucleotides. Lineage: Eukaryota; Metazoa; Chordata; Mammalia; Primates; Cebidae. The record is from RefSeq and is a predicted model, not a curated record.
GUUUUGGACACUGAGACGGAGCUGGCAGCCGCUGCAGACCAAAGUCAGGAAAGGGCAGGCCGGGUGAACAGACGGAUUUGCCAACUAGACGGCCAACCAGCAACAACAAACUAAGUUCGCAUACUACCGCUUACGCAUCUAACCAACUGCCCAUCUACCUAACCCGAGCCCCUCCACCGUCAAUUCAGGUUCGGCCGGUCCCUGGCCCGCCUGUCGGAGCCGUGGUGGCAGCGUCGGGAGGAACCCUGGCGUCUGUUCCCUUUGAUUCUCGGGAUUCGAAGAUGGCUGCACAGUCAGCGCCGAAAGUUGUGCUAAAAAGCACCACCAAGAUGUCUCUAAAUGAGCGCUUUACUAGUAUGCUGAAGAACAAACAGCCGACGCCAGUGAAUAUUCGGGCUUCGAUGCAGCAACAGCAGCAGCUAGCCAGUGCCAGAAACAGAAGACUGGCCCAGCAGAUGGAGAAUAGACCCUCUGUCCAGGCGGCAUUAAAACUUAAGCAGAAGAGCUUAAAGCAGCACCUGGGUAAGAGUAACACCCAAGCACGGUUAGGCUGACCCAUAGGGGCCCUGGCCAGGGGAGCAAUCGGGGGACGAGGCCUACCCACAAUCCAGAGAGGCUUGCCCAGAGGAGGACUACGUGGGGACGUGCCACCAGAACCCUGCUUUGGGGCGUAAUGCCGCCCCGAGGUCAAAACCUGCUCCGAGGUGGAGGAGACGUAGCUCCCCGAAUGGGCUUCAGAAGAGGUGGUGUUCGAGGUCGUGGAGGUCCUGGGAGAGGGGGCCUAGGACGUGGAGCUAUGGGGGGCCUGGGGGGCUAGGUUGUGGCGGAAUCGGUGGUAGAGGUCGGGGUAUGAUAGGUCAGGGAAGAGGGGGCUUUGGAGGCCGAGGCCGAGGGAGUGGACGAGGGAGAGGUGCCCUCGCUCGCCCUGUAUUGACCAAGUAGCAGCUGAACAACCAAUUGGAUGCAUACACGUUGAAAACGGAAGGACACCUGGAUGCUGAGUUGGAUGCCUACAUGGCGCAGACAGAUCCCGAAACCAAUGAUUGAAGCCUGCCCACCCUCCCGUGAGAGACUCUUGUUAGUCGACACAUCUGUAAAUAACCUUGAGAUAACAGAUGAGAAGAAAUCUGAUUGAUGCUGGAUGGACCUAUCACAACAGGCUAUGGACUUACUUGCCACCAGCUUGUGCAUUUAGUGUGUUCCUUUUACUUUUUGAUACUGUAUUGUAUGAAGCCCUUUUGUCCUUUGA